AGGACGAACGCUGGCGGCGUGCCUAACACAUGCAAGUGGAGCGACGAACCAGGGCUUGCCCUGGAGCAAAGCCGCGAACGGGUGAGUAACACGUGGGUAACCUGCCUCGAUGACCGGGACAACCCGAGGAAACUCGGGCUAAUACCGGAUGUGCCCUGCCGGCCCAAGCCGGCGUGGGGAAAGGAAGCUUCGGCCUCCGCAUCGGGAGGGGCCCGCGGCCCAUUAGCUUGUUGGUGAGGUAAAGGCUCACCAAGGCAACGAUGGGUAGCUGGUCUGAGAGGACGAUCAGCCACACUGGGACUGAGACACGGCCCAGACUCCUACGGGAGGCAGCAGUGGGGAAUAUUGCACAAUGGGGGGAACCCUGAUGCAGCGACGCCGCGUGCGGGAUGAAGGCCUUCGGGUUGUAAACCGCUUUCAGCAGGGACGAAAUUGACGGUACCUGCAGAAGAAGCACGGCUAACUACGUGCCAGCAGCCGC
This 481-nucleotide ribosomal RNA is filed under the name uncultured bacterium. Its description in RNAcentral is "SSU rRNA". It matches the Rfam family "Bacterial small subunit ribosomal RNA", at positions 26 to 518 of the family's 1533-position model. The record is from RNAcentral.